This 396-nucleotide ribosomal RNA is filed under the name Agrobacterium sp. Nfb4SD. Its description in RNAcentral is "bacterial SSU rRNA". It matches the Rfam family "Bacterial small subunit ribosomal RNA", at positions 988 to 1388 of the family's 1533-position model. Lineage: Bacteria; Pseudomonadati; Pseudomonadota; Alphaproteobacteria; Hyphomicrobiales; Rhizobiaceae. The record is from RNAcentral.
UUGGGCAGUGGCAAUGGUUUAUCAGCUAGAGCUGGCCCAGAACAGGUGCUGUAUGGCUGUCGUCAGCUCGUGUCGUGAGAAUGUUGGGUUAAGUCCCGCAACGAGCGCAACCCUCGCCCUUAGUUGCCAGCAUUUAGUUGGGCACUCUAAGGGGACUGCCGGUGAUAAGCCGAGAGGAAGGUGGGGAUGACGUCAAGUCCUCAUGGCCCUUACGGGCUGGGCUACACACGUGCUACAAUGGUGGUGACAGUGGGCAGCGAGACAGCGAUGUCGAGCUAAUCUCCAAAAUNCCAUCUCAGUUCGGAUUGCACUCUGCAACUCGAGUGCAUGAAGUUGGAAUCGCUAGUAAUCGCAGAUCAGCAUGCUGCGGUGAAUACGUUCCCGGGUCUUGUACAC